UGGCAUAGACACAAACAUAUUUGGUUGUGUCGUGUGUAUUUGCAGCACGUUUCCUAAAUGCUGCACAUUUGUUUUCAAAUGGAUGAACAUGUUUUAUCUAUCUGCUUGUGUUUUGUCUAUAUGCAUGUUUUUUAAGUUGUAGAGCGUUUGUCUUGUCAGGUACCAUAGGCUGGGGUAUUUCUUUGUAAUGAAUUAAUAGUGAACAUGCUCAUUUGAAACUGGAUUCUUUGGCGUGUAUUACAAAAGCGUUAGGAAGGCCAUAUUCUUCUAUUCUAUGGUCAGACUCUGUUAUCUCCAGUAGGGGGCAGUCAUAACCCACAGUGAAACAUAAUCUGAGUGUCAUUGAGAAGAGUAUCUGCCCAAAGCCCAUUAGUCACCCUGUUUUGGGUUUCCAGUCAAAACAACAGAGAAAAUAAUGAGGCAUUUUAUUUUCUAUACAUUUCAUACAGCUACAUUCCGUUAGCUUGAUGCUAACUAUGUCUGAUUAAAGUUUAUUUUCCCCUCCAUUUCAUUCACAGGAAGUUUGAUUGGGCAAACAGUUAGUCACAAGCAACUUGCCAGGGAUUUUGUCCACUGUCUUCACUUACUACUACACAUAUACACGCAUACAAAGAUACAAAUUGUAUACUUUUAUUUCAUGUCCAUAUGUACAAAAUAAACACUGAUGGAUUUGAUUUUACAGACUGAUUUUGAUCCUUUUAAUGGGCAUCGGCUUCUCAAAAAAUGUCAGCCACCAACUAAAUAAUCUUUUCCUGAAUGAAAUGCCAGUACUUGCAACAAAACUAUAACUAGCUUUGAUGGUUUGCACCAUCCCACCAGUGUCUUACUAUGAGCAACCCCAUAAUAAUCUCAGACAAAGAAGGGCUAACCAUUUUGGUGUCAUGGUAACCCCAUAAAAUACGGUUUAGAUUUUUCAAUGGUCAAUGAUUGGAAUAAACACAAACGUCUUGGUAAUAUAUUAAUGUUGAUGGAGUCUAUACAUAAAAUACAGCUAAGAGCCCAUUUUAUACUCAGAGGGAAGAUACUGAAGGGGGUUUUAGUGGACAUUGAGGACCUGAGUUUGUUGCUCAUUUACUUUUUAGCCUGAGCAUGAUCCACAUUCAUCCAGCACUGACAUCAACAUCUUAAGUUUAAUUACUAUAUUAUGUCACAUAAUACCCUCCAUUGAUACAGAUUUCUCACACUGAAAGAUACAAAAACUGAUUUCCCUUCUCAACUGAAAACAAACAAAUAAACCUACAUAAGAGAAGCCCAUUAACAUUAAGAGAAAUUAUAUUAUGUAAAACAAUACAAUCCAUCGAUUUCUCACACUGAAAGAUAUAAAAACUGAUUUCCCUUAUCAACUGAAAACAAACACAUAAAUCUACAUAAGAGAAGCCCAUUAACAUUAAGAGAAAUUAUAUUAUGUAAAGUAAUACAAUCCAUCGAUAUUUUACACUGAAAGAUAUAAAAACUGACAAACACAUAAACCUACAUAAGAACAUCAGACCAACUACAGAGAAAGUUUCUUACAGUAAAAGGAUCCCUGUCCCUCUAAAGUCCCUGCUGGAGUGUGGAGGUAAAUCACCCUGUGCUCCGCCCAAAUGGAUCUGGGUGUAGAGUCAGGGUCUGGCUUCUGUGUCAAUAGUCCCUUUAACUCCAAAGUAGCCGUGUGUAUGUCCUUUUUUUUUAGUUGUGGAGAUCUUUAGAGAUAGAAAUAAUUCCACAGAGCGGUUCAUCUCUUGGUCCGGUGACUUCUUUGCCAGUUAGUAAGGCAUCAUUUUUCCUCAUUGUCGGAGGAGUCUGGUCUUUUUUCGAUGUCCCCUGUUCCGUUACCCACUUUUUCGACGUCUUCUGACUUCUCUGUGGGUUCCCCCACUCAUUUCAGAGAGGCAUUAGGAGAAUACUUCUAGAAGUCUGAGAGGUUUCAAGACAGUACUUUGUUUGCAGUGGGUUGUGAGCUAUAGGGCUCUCCCUCCGAGCAUAUGGGUUUCAGUACAAUGACAUACAAAUAUCAAAAGUCACUCUGUUCCUGUACACUGUUGACUAAAAAUUGUAUCCUUGAAUGUUAAAGUCUAAAGUAAGUCAAGUCUUUUUGGUUGGAGUCCGAGCAGGUAUAGCCUAAGAACUGAACCUAAGAUCUGACACUCAUGCAGCUUUAUGUGUCCUCACAAAGUCAGAUUUGGGCAUUUUCAGAUAUCCAAGCAAAGAACAAAAGACCUCAAAUACAGAUUUGUGUUGUUGUUGCUUGGACAAUUUCCUGUUUCCUUGGAUAGGUUAAGGGCAUCAUGACACUGUCAACAUGAUGGGAUCAUUUUGUGCUUGGUACGGUUGAGGGGGUGUCCACUAGUUGAAUGGUAGUGCCACUCAAGUCUUCACAAAGAUCAGAAUCCCAAACAGUAUGAAAGGAAGGUUCGGCAUGAGAGGUGGAAGAAAAGCAAGGAGAAAACAGAACAGAAGACCAGUUAUUUUCACAUCUACACUGAUACACCAUUUUAAGUCAGCUAAAUGAAAGUAGCCUACUAUGUAAAUGAAGGCACACUGUGAGGUCAGGGGGGUUUAAGUAAAUUUAAGUACGUACAUCAAAUGACUCACCUUUCCUAAAUUCCGUAAGGUUUUGCACCAAAUCAAGGCGCUGCAAAUCUUUCAGCAGUACCUCUGUUUCGAUGAUACACUGGGAUGUACCCCAUACCUGUAUCAUUUUAUCAGCAAGAUCAUCUCUGUCAAGUGAUUUGGGUAUUCUUUUUUUUUGGUGUAGAAAAAACUUCAGUCUCUUGAAUUCUUUUUCAUCUAGGUUAUCCAAAAUCUCCAUUAAUUUGCUGGGCCAUGUGAUUUCCAGACCGGACGCUAAAAUAUUAAAGCACAUAUCAGAGGCAAAUACAUUUUGCAUACACAGAAAUAUAGCACUUCACACAAAGCUAAGCAGCCCUUCCUUACAUAUUGUAAUGUGAUUGAGUAAAAUAUUUACCACAACCCAAUAAACUGAAAGUGUUAUUGUCCCUCCCAACAUCACCUUAUUGACCUCUUUCUGGUUGUGUGUUUUAUACACACUUUAAAUGCACUCACCCAAGUACCAAUUAUACCUAAAGGCACUCAGCUAAAUCUGAAAUUCUAAAUAGUCUGCAGUGUAGAUGUUUACAGUGUAAAUAGUUUCAGACAUUUCUCACUUUUUACCGCCGCUCCUUUUGACGGAGCAUCUG
This is a long non-coding RNA of Clupea harengus (Atlantic herring), 3179 nucleotides long. The record is from Ensembl. NCBI's taxonomy places the organism in Eukaryota, Metazoa, Chordata, Actinopteri, Clupeiformes, Clupeidae.